Molecule: ribosomal RNA, 478 nt
Filed under: uncultured organism
Description: partial 16S ribosomal RNA
Rfam family: Bacterial small subunit ribosomal RNA
Source: RNAcentral
UACACUCCUACGGGAGGCAGCAGUGGGGAAUAUUGCACAAUGGGCGCAAGCCUGAUGCAGCCAUGCCGCGUGUAUGAAGAAGGCCUUCGGGUUGUAAAGUACUUUCAGCGGGGAGGAAGGCGAUAAGGUUAAUAACCUUGUCGAUUGACGUUACCCGCAGAAGAAGCACCGGCUAACUCCGUGCCAGCAGCCGCGGUAAUACGGAGGGUGCAAGCGUUAAUCGGAAUUACUGGGCGUAAAGCGCACGCAGGCGGUCUGUCAAGUCGGAUGUGAAAUCCCCGGGCUCAACCUGGGAACUGCAUUCGAAACUGGCAGGCUAGAGUCUUGUAGAGGGGGGUAGAAUUCCAGGUGUAGCGGUGAAAUGCGUAGAGAUCUGGAGGAAUACCGGUGGCGAAGGCGGCCCCCUGGACAAAGACUGACGCUCAGGUGCGAAAGCGUGGGGAGCAAACAGGAUUAGAAACCCCAGUAGUCCCAUGAU